GCCGAGGUGGUGGAACUGGUAGACACAAGGGACUUAAAAUCCCUCGGGCUUAACGGCCUGUGCGGGUUCGAGUCCCGCCCCCGGCA
This 86-nucleotide transfer RNA is filed under the name Spirochaetota bacterium. RNAcentral describes it as "Spirochaetes bacterium (hot springs metagenome) tRNA-Leu". It matches the Rfam family "tRNA". Rfam says of the family: Transfer RNA (tRNA) molecules are approximately 80 nucleotides in length. Their secondary structure includes four short double-helical elements and three loops (D, anti-codon, and T loops). The record is from RNAcentral. Lineage: Bacteria; Pseudomonadati; Spirochaetota.